RNAcentral lists this long non-coding RNA (328 nucleotides) under Oryza brachyantha (malo sina). RNAcentral describes it as "long non-coding RNA (OBRA_LNC003160)". The record is from RNAcentral. Lineage: Eukaryota; Viridiplantae; Streptophyta; Magnoliopsida; Poales; Poaceae.
CAUCAGGAAUUCUUCCAUCUCAUGUCUUCCAGCAUAUAUCAUCAGAUCACUUAUUUGUCCUAGUUCAGCACUGCUAAUAAGGUGGAUCAAGUUGGUGCAAGAGAAGUAACAAGUAUGAAGCAGUCUUUCCCAUGCACAAGUUUGGUUUUCUGUAUGUCUCCAGUCUAGCCCAUAUACUUCAUCCAGGCUGCUUUUGUUUGUUUGCUUGUCUAUGUUUAUUUAGGAUGAUUUUGAGAUUAAUUAAUAAUGUUUGGUUGGUUGUAUCUCUGUAUGUUCUGUAUGUUGUAUCCAGUAAUAGUGUUUGAUUGGAUAUUUGGAGCUUGGCUUU